Molecule: ribosomal RNA, 1492 nt
Filed under: Liolaemus millcayac
Lineage: Eukaryota; Metazoa; Chordata; Lepidosauria; Squamata
Description: 16S ribosomal RNA
Rfam family: Bacterial large subunit ribosomal RNA
Source: RNAcentral
ACCAAAAACAGUGCCCAAUACACCCACUAACAAAUAGCCAAACAAACCAAAACAUUUGACAAUAUUAGUAGAGGCGAUCAAAACUUAUCAAUGGAGCUUAUUCAAGUACCGCAAGGGAACCAUGAAAAAACAAUGAAAUAUACAGUAAAACAAAGCAAAGAUAAACCCUUGUACCUAUUGCAUCACGGUCUAGCAAGUACAAAACAGACAAGAUGAUCUAGCCUGUAUUCCCGAAAUUAAGUGAGCUACCACAAGACAGCUCACGGAACCAACCCGUCCCUGUAGCAAAAGGGUGGGAAGAUCUCGUGGUAGCGGUGAAAAGCCUACCGAACUUAAUGAUAGCUGGUUGCCCGAGAAAAGAAUUUAAGUUCAACUUUAGUUAUUAACAACGCACUAUAGUAACAAGUAAAACUAAAAGAUAUUCAACGAGGGUACAGCCUCGUUGAAACAGGAUACAACCUGAAUUAGAGAGCACACCCAUAAGCGUAAUACAGUAGGCCUUUAAGCAGCCACCAGUAACAAAAGCGUCACAGCAUUAUAAAACUAAAUACCUAAAAAUACUAGCACCUCCUAACCCAUAUCGGGCUAUUCUAUAAAAAUAUAGAAAAACUUAUGCUAAAACUAGUAACAAGAAAUAAUUCUCUCAACACACCUGUAACCCAGAAAUAGAACAGCUACUGGAGAUUAACAAAAGUAGAAUAAAUACAACAAACUACCACAAACUGUUACCCCGACACAGGAGUGUAAAAAAGAAAGAUUAAACACUAAAGAAGGAACUCGGCAACAAUAACCCCAACUGUUUACCAAAAACAUAGCCUUUAGCAGACCCCAAGUAUUAAAGGUAACGCCUGCCCAGUGAACCAUUCAACGGCCGCGGUAUCCUAACCGUGCAAAGGUAGCGUAAUCACUUGUCCUCUAAAUAGGGACCAGUAUGAACGGCUAAAUGAGGGUUAUACUGUCUCCUUUAGUUAAUCAGUGAAACUGAUCUACCAGUACAAAAGCUGGUAUUAAAACAUAAGACGAGAAGACCCUGUGGAGCUUUAAAUAUAAUGUCAAAAUACAUGACAAAAUUUUUAAGUUGGGGCGACUUCGGAAAAAAACAAAACUUCCGAGCAUAGAAAUUUCUAACCAAGGCCAACAAGCCGAAGCAAAACAUGACCCAGUCAAACUGAUUAACGAACCAAGUUACCCCAGGGAUAACAGCGCUAUCUUCUUCAAGAGUUCCUAUCGACAAGAAGGUUUACGACCUCGAUGUUGGAUCAGGACACCCAAAUGGUGCAGCCGCUAUUAAAGGUUCGUUUGUUCAACGAUUAACAGUCCUACGUGAUCUGAGUUCAGACCGGAGUGAUCCAGGUCGGUUUCUAUCUAUGGCAUGGCCUUUCUUAGUACGAAAGGACCAGAAAGGCAAGACCACUGCAAAACAUGUCUUAUUCAAAAAGCUGAAAACAACUUAAGCUUAACACAUAUUACUACCCCGUAAAUAACGGGCUUA